AGCGAACGCUGGCGGCAGGCUUAACACAUGCAAGUCGAGCGGGCAUCUUCGGGUGUCAGCGGCGGACGGGUGAGUAACGCGUGGGAACGUGCCUUCUGGUUCGGAAUAACUCAGGGAAACUUGAGCUAAUACCGGAUACGCCCUUUUGGGGAAAGGUUUACUGCCGGAAGAUCGGCCCGCGUCUGAUUAGCUAGUUGGUGGGGUAACGGCCUACCAAGGCGACGAUCAGUAGCCGGUCUGAGAGGAUGAUCAGCCACACUGGGACUGAGACACGGCCCAGACUCCUACGGGAGGCAGCAGUGGGGAAUAUUGGACAAGGGGGGCAACCCUGAUCCAGCCAUGCCGCGUGAGUGAUGAAGGCCUUAGGGUUGUAAAGCUCUUUUAUCCGGGACGAUAAUGACGGUACCGGAGGAAUAAGCCCCGGCUAACUUCGUGCCAGCCGCCGCCGUAA
RNAcentral lists this ribosomal RNA (451 nucleotides) under uncultured bacterium. RNAcentral's name for it is "partial 16S ribosomal RNA". It matches the Rfam family "Bacterial small subunit ribosomal RNA", at positions 29 to 523 of the family's 1533-position model. The record is from RNAcentral.